UAGGCUUUCUUAUUUAAAAGGGGGAGUUUUCUAAAUCAUAGGGAGAAGCAUUUCAUUCUUUUUGUAGCAUUAUUUCUUUUUUCUUUUACCAAUAGAAAAACUUAGGCAAAUUUUGGAGAGAAAAGCCCUCUUCUUUCUUGAUUUUGUAUUUUGAAGAAUGAAUUGGUUUGUGGAUGGAUUCAAAUUAGGUUUAUUGGAAGGAGUAGGAAUUGGGAGACCUUCAAUGUUGUCCAAGAAUUGUACAAAUUAAUUUGGUAUGUUGGAAGUUCUUUGCAUUUUCAUUUUGGAGAAAAAUGAGGGUCAGCGGUUCUUCGUGCCAUGAACAACUCCAAGGAAGCAUAAUUGCUUCGUGGUUGGGCGAAAAAGCGCUCUGGCAAUGUUCUCGCCCAAGGUGUGCUCAUGGGAGAUAGAUGUCAGAAUCUCUUAUUAGGAUUAUAAUAAGCUAUGUACAUUAUGUAUUAUUAUAAUCAAUCUUAUAAAUGAAAUAAUUUUCUUAUGUUUGACUA
Molecule: long non-coding RNA, 506 nt
Organism: Cryptomeria japonica (Japanese cedar)
Lineage: Eukaryota; Viridiplantae; Streptophyta; Pinopsida; Cupressales; Cupressaceae
Exons: 2
Source: RefSeq, a predicted model, not a curated record